UACCUACGGGGGGCAGCAGUGGGGAAUAUUGGGCAAUGGGCGCAAGCCUGACCCAGCGACGCCGCGUGAGUGAAGAAGUAUUUCGGUAUGUAAAGCUCUAUCAGCAGGGAAGAAAGAAAUGACGGUACCUGACUAAGAAGCCCCGGCUAACUACGUGCCAGCAGCCGCGGUAAUACGUAGGGGGCAAGCGUUAUCCGGAUUUACUGGGUGUAAAGGGAGCGUAGACGGCAAUGCAAGCCUGAAGUGAAAGGCGGGGGCCCAACCUCCGGACUGCUUUGGAAACUGUAUGGCUGGAGUGCAGGAGG
This 305-nucleotide ribosomal RNA is filed under the name uncultured bacterium. RNAcentral describes it as "bacterial SSU rRNA". It matches the Rfam family "Bacterial small subunit ribosomal RNA", at positions 335 to 655 of the family's 1533-position model. The record is from RNAcentral.